AGAUAAAAAAGCUCAAGCAAGUGCUGGUGAUGAGGAAACUGAUGGACCUACCCCACCACAAGACCCACCAGCCUGGCUAUAUAAUGAUGAAAUCAUGAGACGUGUCCCUAAAACUCUACAUUUUCAUGAAGAUCUUGUUAAAGAUAUUGAAAUUCUACUUAUGCCAGCCACU
Long non-coding RNA from Amphimedon queenslandica, 172 nucleotides. RefSeq lists it as uncharacterized. The record is from RefSeq and is a predicted model, not a curated record. NCBI's taxonomy places the organism in Eukaryota, Metazoa, Porifera, Demospongiae, Haplosclerida, Niphatidae. The transcript has 2 exons.